This 71-nucleotide transfer RNA is filed under the name Defluviitoga tunisiensis. RNAcentral's name for it is "Thermotogaceae bacterium SulfLac1 tRNA". It matches the Rfam family "tRNA". Rfam says of the family: Transfer RNA (tRNA) molecules are approximately 80 nucleotides in length. Their secondary structure includes four short double-helical elements and three loops (D, anti-codon, and T loops). The record is from Rfam by way of RNAcentral. Lineage: Bacteria; Thermotogati; Thermotogota; Thermotogae; Petrotogales; Petrotogaceae.
UGGGGGAUCGUCUAACGGCAGGACAGUGGACUCUGACUCCACGAGUAGAGGUUCGAAUCCUCUUCCCCCAG